AUUGAACGCUGGCGGCAGGCCUAACACAUGCAAGUCGAGCGGAUGAAGGGAGCUUGCUCCUGGAUUCAGCGGCGGACGGGUGAGUAAUGCCUAGGAAUCUGCCUGGUAUUGGGGGAUAACGUCCGGAAACGGGCGCUAAUACCGCAUACGUCCUGAGUGAGAAAGUGGGGGAUCUUCGGACCUCACGCUAUCAGAUGAGCCUAGGUCGGAUUAGCGAGUUGGUAAGGUAAAGGCCUACCAAGGCGACGAGGCAUAGCCGACCUGAGAGGGUGAUCGGUCACAGUGGAACUGAGACACGGUCCAGACUCCUACGGGAGGCAGCAGUAGGGAAUCGUCCGCAAUGGGCGAAAGCCUGACGGAGCAACGCCGCGUGAGUGAUGAAGGUCUUCGGAUCGUAAAACUCUGUUAUUAGGGAAGAACAUAUGUGUAAGUAACUGUGCAUAGCUUGACGGUACCUAAUCAGAAAGCCACGGCUAACUACGUG
RNAcentral lists this ribosomal RNA (484 nucleotides) under uncultured bacterium. RNAcentral's name for it is "partial 16S ribosomal RNA". It matches the Rfam family "Bacterial small subunit ribosomal RNA", at positions 30 to 507 of the family's 1533-position model. The record is from RNAcentral.